GGGUUGUGAGGUUAAGCGACUAAGCGUACACGGUGGAUGCCCUGGUAGUCAGAGGCGAUGAAGGACGUGCUAAUCUGCGAUAAGCGUCGGUAAGGUGAUAUGAACCAUUAUAACCGGCGAUUUCCGAAUGGGGAAACCCAGUGUGAUUCGUCACACUAUCAUUAACUGAAUCCAUAGGUUAAUGAGGCGAACCGGGGGAACUGAAACAUCUAAGUACCCCGAGGAAAAGAAAUCAACCGAGAUUCCCCCAGUAGCGGCGAGCGAACGGGGAGCAGCCCAGAGCCUGAAUCAGUGUGUGUGUUAGUGGAAGCGUCUGGAAAGGCGUGCGAUACAGGGUGACAGCCCCGUACACAAAAAUGCACAUAUUGUGAGCUCGAUGAGUAGGGCGGGACACGUGGUAUCCUGUCUGAAUAUGGGGGGACCAUCCUCCAAGGCUAAAUACUCCUGACUGACCGAUAGUGAACCAGUACCGUGAGGGAAAGGCGAAAAGAACCCCGGCGAGGGGAGUGAAAAAGAACCUGAAACCGUGUACGUACAAGCAGUGGGAGCACGCUUAGGCGUGUGACUGCGUACCUUUUGUAUAAUGGGUCAGCGACUUAUAUUCUGUAGCAAGGUUAACCGAAUAGGGGAGCCGAAGGGAAACCGAGUCUUAACUGGGCGUUAAGUUGCAGGGUAUAGACCCGAAACCCGGUGAUCUAGCCAUGGGCAGGUUGAAGGUUGGGUAACACUAACUGGAGGACCGAACCGACUAAUGUUGAAAAAUUAGCGGAUGACUUGUGGCUGGGGGUGAAAGGCCAAUCAAACCGGGAGAUAGCUGGUUCUCCCCGAAAGCUAUUUAGGUAGCGCCUCGUGAAUUCAUCUCCGGGGGUAGAGCACUGUUUCGGCAAGGGGGUCAUCCCGACUUACCAACCCGAUGCAAACUGCGAAUACCGGAGAAUGUUAUCACGGGAGACACACGGCGGGUGCUAACGUCCGUCGUGAAGAGGGAAACAACCCAGACCGCCAGCUAAGGUCCCAAAGUCAUGGUUAAGUGGGAAACGAUGUGGGAAGGCCCAGACAGCCAGGAUGUUGGCUUAGAAGCAGCCAUCAUUUAAAGAAAGCGUAAUAGCUCACUGGUCGAGUCGGCCUGCGCGGAAGAUGUAACGGGGCUAAACCAUGCACCGAAGCUGCGGCAGCGACGCUGAUGCGUUGUUGGGUAGGGGAGCGUUCUGUAAGCCUGUGAAGGUGUGCUGUGAGGUAUGCUGGAGGUAUCAGAAGUGCGAAUGCUGACAUAAGUAA
RNAcentral lists this ribosomal RNA (1278 nucleotides) under Shigella boydii. RNAcentral's name for it is "partial 23S ribosomal RNA". It matches the Rfam family "Bacterial large subunit ribosomal RNA", at positions 1 to 1309 of the family's 2925-position model. The record is from RNAcentral. Lineage: Bacteria; Pseudomonadati; Pseudomonadota; Gammaproteobacteria; Enterobacterales; Enterobacteriaceae.